AUACGAAGGGUGCAAGCGUUACUCGGAAUUACUGGGCGUAAAGCGUGCGUAGGUGGUUGUUUAAGUCUGUCGUGAAAGCCCUGGGCUCAACCUGGGAAUGGCGAUGGAAACUGGGCGACUAGAGUGUGGCAGAGGGUAGUGGAAUUCCUGGUGUAGCAGUGAAAUGCGUAGAGAUCAGGAGGAACAUCCGUGGCGAAGGCGACUGCCUGGGCCAACACUGACACUGAGGCACGAAAGCGUGGGGAGCAAACAGGAUUAGAUACCCUGGUAGUCCACGCCCUAAACGAUGCGAACUGGAUGUUGGGUGCAAUUUGGCACGCAGUAUCGAAGCUAAUGCGUUAAGUUCGCCGCCUGGGGAGUACGGUCGCAAGACUGAAACUCAAAGGAAUUGACGGGG
Molecule: ribosomal RNA, 397 nt
Filed under: uncultured bacterium
Lineage: Bacteria
Description: partial 16S ribosomal RNA
Rfam family: Bacterial small subunit ribosomal RNA
Source: RNAcentral